RNAcentral lists this ribosomal RNA (253 nucleotides) under uncultured bacterium. RNAcentral describes it as "partial 16S ribosomal RNA". It matches the Rfam family "Bacterial small subunit ribosomal RNA", at positions 524 to 776 of the family's 1533-position model. The record is from RNAcentral.
UACGUAGGGGGCUAGCGUUGUCCGGAUUUAUUGGGCGUAAAGAGCGUGUAGGCGGCCAGGUAGGUCUGCUGUGAAAACUCGAGGCUUAACCUCGAGAUGUCGGCGGAAACCAUCUGGCUAGAGUCCGGAAGAGGAGAGUGGAAUUCCUGGUGUAGCAGUGAAAUGCGUAGAUAUCAGGAGGAACACCGAUGGCGAAGGCAGGUCUCUGGGCUGACACUGACGCUCAUGCACGAAAGCGUGGGGAGCAAACAGG